Molecule: transfer RNA, 76 nt
Filed under: Caudoviricetes sp.
Lineage: Duplodnaviria; Heunggongvirae; Uroviricota; Caudoviricetes
Description: tRNA-Gln
Rfam family: tRNA
About the family: Transfer RNA (tRNA) molecules are approximately 80 nucleotides in length.
Source: RNAcentral
UGGGACGUCGCCAAGCGGUAAGGCAAGGGACUUUGACUCCCUCAUUUCACUGGUUCGAAUCCAGUCAUCCCAACCA